Molecule: ribosomal RNA, 405 nt
Filed under: uncultured bacterium
Lineage: Bacteria
Description: partial 16S ribosomal RNA
Rfam family: Bacterial small subunit ribosomal RNA
Source: RNAcentral
GAUGAACGCUGGCUGCGUGCCUAAUACAUGCAAGUCGAGCGAGUGGCGGACGGGUGAGUAACACGUGAUAACCUACCUAUAAGACUGGGAUAACUACGGGAAACUGUAGCUAAUACCGCGUACCAUAGGAUGAGCCCAAGUGGGAUUAGGUAGUUGGUGAGGUAAAGGCUCACCAAGCCAACGAUCUCUAGCUGGUCUGAGAGGAUGACCAGCCACACUGGGACUGAGACACGGCCCAGACUCCUACGGGAGGCAGCAGUGGGGAAUGUUGCGCACUGGGGGCAACCUGACGCAGCCAUGCCGCGUGAAUGAGGAAGGUCUUCGGGUUGUAAAGUUCUUUCGGUAGCGAGGCGUUAACUACACAGAAAGCACCGGCUAACUCCGUGCCAGCAGCCGCGGUAAUAC